RNAcentral lists this ribosomal RNA (253 nucleotides) under uncultured bacterium. RNAcentral describes it as "partial 16S ribosomal RNA". It matches the Rfam family "Bacterial small subunit ribosomal RNA", at positions 524 to 776 of the family's 1533-position model. The record is from RNAcentral.
UACGUAGGGACCGAGCGUUGUCCGGAUUCAUUGGGCGUAAAGAGCUCGUAGGCGGCCACUCAAGUCGAAUGUGAAACCUCGAGGCUUAACCUCGAGCCUGCAUUUGAUACUGGGCGGCUAGAGUCUGGUAGGGGGAUCUGGAAUUCCUGGUGUAGCGGUAGAAUGCGCAGAUAUCAGGAGGAACACCGGUGGCGAAGGCGGGAUCCUGGGCCAGUACUGACGCUGAGGAGCGAAAGCGUGGGGAGCAAACAGG